AAAGAUCCAAAAAGAAGAGUGACUAAGUAUAUGCUUUUGUUUUCAGACUAAAACUAAAAUAAGUCACUAGCUGACCGCAUAAUGAUUUUAAACAGGCUAAAUAUAGCAAGGCCAAACCCAAGACAUACAACUAUAUUCAAAAUCGAUAUCCCUAAAUUGUAAUGAGGAAAAGUUUUAUGUUUCACAUGCACUGAUUCUGCGUGGAAAGUAACGGUUGGUCUAUUGCGUUUCUUUUGCCGUUAAUGCAUAAAAACCUCUACAUAGGACUGCAGAAAUAAAAGAAGGCCAGCCGCCAGCAGAAACUCAUUAAAGACUGCAGUUUCUCUAAAGGAGAGUGAUCAGAAGCGAAUUGUGAGGAAGCUCAGGCGAGAACAGGUGGGUCGGCCGUCCUGUUCUGCCCCGAGCCUUGGAGUCAGCGAUGUCCUUCACAACGCCGCAUCCCAGUACGAUCUCUCUAACUUCAAACGGACUCUUCAUGGGCACCCAUCCACACACCCCCC
Long non-coding RNA from Paramormyrops kingsleyae, 500 nucleotides. RefSeq lists it as uncharacterized. The record is from RefSeq and is a predicted model, not a curated record. NCBI's taxonomy places the organism in Eukaryota, Metazoa, Chordata, Actinopteri, Osteoglossiformes, Mormyridae.